UCGACCCAAUCCGACUCUCCCAAUUAUCCUGGGUUUAAAACCCUAAAACUUAAAAAACGUUUGCCCUUUCAGGAAGAAAGAAAAACUCGUUCCUCUUCUUCUCUCUCGAUCGCCCUUUUCUGAACUGAAUCGCUCACCGUUUUGAAACUUGCUCUACAUUGAUGAACACACUAAGAAAAACAAAACCUCUCCAUUUUCUUAUCACUCUCGAUCUCUCUGUGAACGAAACAACAAUAACAACAAAAAAAACACUCGAUCUCACCUCUCUCUCGAUCUCUCUGUGAAUGAAACAACAAUAACAACAAAAAGAACACUCGAUCUCACCUCUCUCUCGAUUCGUUCCAUCUCUCAAUCGCUUCUAGUUUCAAACGAUUCAAUAAUUUAACACGAAAUAAACCUAAACCUCAUUCAAAUCCUUUCCCCAAAUUGUUUCAAUGUUUCAGCAUGAAGUUAUGAAUUACAAGUUACAAGAGCACAAGGAAAUUGAAAAAUAAAAACAAGAACAAAAAUCAGGUUUUAUGUACCCAUUUUAGUGAAAUGUUUGGACCUUUUGAGACAGCAUUAUGCAGGUCUGAUGGUGCAGCAAGGGCGCAGGUUUUGGACAGCAAGAGGUUGGUGGUGCAGGGUGGAGCAGAGUGCAGGCUUUGGACAACAAGAGGUUGGUGGUGCAGGAAACAUGAAGACCAAAUUUGUUAUUUUUUUUGUUUAGUGUAAAAAAAAUGUAAUUGGACUUUAUAAAAAGAACAAAUUGGGCCCAAAA
Long non-coding RNA from Vicia villosa (hairy vetch), 760 nucleotides. RefSeq lists it as uncharacterized. The record is from RefSeq and is a predicted model, not a curated record. Lineage: Eukaryota; Viridiplantae; Streptophyta; Magnoliopsida; Fabales; Fabaceae. The transcript has 2 exons.